Molecule: long non-coding RNA, 789 nt
Filed under: Panax ginseng (ginseng)
Lineage: Eukaryota; Viridiplantae; Streptophyta; Magnoliopsida; Apiales; Araliaceae
Description: long non-coding RNA (PGIN_LNC011390)
Source: RNAcentral
UGUGGAUGGGGUCGACGUAAUCAGGUAAAUCUACUUUUAUGUCACUGCAUCAAAAUAACUUUACUAUUCCUAUAAUAUAAAUAGUUACUUUUAUUGUUUAUGUAAAUAAUAUAGGUGGUUGUGCAUUCUCCUCAUUGGGCAAAGUACGUUCGUAUUGAUACGAGGACAUUAAGGAUAUUGAUGAAGAGGAGAUUUAAAGGGAUGAAAAAGACAUUUAAGAGAGUUAAAUGAUAUGCAAUCCAAUACUGACAUGUCUAGGUGUGAAAGUCUCUCUUACUAAGACUAUAUUUCUCUACUUCUCACACAAACACAUAAUACAUGCACAAACACACACACACACACACAUAACUGUAACCAAUCAAACACUCGCAAAUCAUACUCACACACCAUUAUACUGCCACCGAUACAAAUUUAUGAUUUAAAUCAUUAAGCAAAUGAAAUGUUCGUUGAGAUAGUACUAAGAAAACUUUAUUUGAUUGUAAGUCCAUAUUUUUCCUUAAAAAAUUGAUUGUUUGUUACAAUCUCUCUAAAUUCUUACUGCAAUCAAUCUAAAUCAUUCCCCCUACAUACAAAUAUGUGUGCUCAUUUGUUUUCAAAUUUAUAAUUGUUUUAUUUUUACUCACAUAUUUCGAUAAUUUUUAAAUUUCAAUUAUUUUCAGGUAUAUACUGAAGGAUACAUGAUGUAAGCUGUAAAGAAUAUACUUGGUGUAAGCUGUAAAGUAAAGGGUCUUAGUUUCUCUAUUUUCUGCAUGUAUGUAUUUUUUGUAUUCUGCCUUUUGUAAAGUUAGC